CAGCAACCAUGGAGCAACACGAGGUGCUGAUUUUCUGCCUUUGGAAUGAGCUCGGCUGCUCUGGCUGCAAGUGGCAGGAGGGACAGUGACCCUGAAGUGAGCAUCUGUAUCAACAUGUUCCUGUUUGCUCCACUGGACUUGGCUCCUUACCACCACCAACCAAGCACCAUUGCUCCUUUCCACAUGCUCUGCUUUUUUCACAGGACACACACAGGCUGUGAGGAAGGCAAAUAGAAACAAGUCCAAGGUCUCCAAACCUUGCGUGCUGGGUCAGAGCUUUGCUUUCAGCUACUGCUGUGCUCAGCUGAGCCCUGCUGAAGGAAGGGAAGUGGCUGGGCUGCAUUGGCACCUCCCUCCCAGCUGGAGCAGGGACUGUGCCUGAUAAUUGCCCAAGAGACACCCAAAAUGGUGCCUUUUGGGCUCAGGUUUUGAGCAAGUUUUCAGCAGAGCUCCCACUCUGCCUUAAAUAAAGGCCAAAUGGAUGAUGCA
RNAcentral lists this long non-coding RNA (489 nucleotides) under Chloebia gouldiae (Gouldian finch). RNAcentral describes it as "Erythrura gouldiae (Gouldian finch) lncRNA (ENSEGOG00005015118.1)". Lineage: Eukaryota; Metazoa; Chordata; Aves; Passeriformes; Passeridae. The record is from RNAcentral.